This 483-nucleotide ribosomal RNA is filed under the name Triticum aestivum (bread wheat). Its description in RNAcentral is "partial small subunit ribosomal RNA". Lineage: Eukaryota; Viridiplantae; Streptophyta; Magnoliopsida; Poales; Poaceae. The record is from RNAcentral.
AUGCAAGGAGGAUGUAUAGAUGAUAUAGGAUCUUGUGGAACUGGAUUUGAUUCUGCAAGCGGUUCGGUAUGAAUGAAGAAAUUUCGAACAAAAGGAUCGGAACUCGCUGAUAGGAAAGGAGAGAAAAACAAAGCAAUGCCAAGAGCUCCGUCAAUCUACUGUUCAUCGAUAGACGAAGCUCUCUCUUUUUCAUCUCGUGCCAGAUGUAACAAAAGAUUAGUCCUUUUUCCUUCUCGCGAACCACGGGAGCGCCCAGCGCCCAGAAGAGCAAAGCUCAUUUUCAAAACAGGGUCAAGCGGCGCAUUAAAAAGGGAUGGCCCGUUAAAAGGACGCUUACUUUGCGAAGGAAGUUCAGAAUCAACAAGGGUUCUCCGAACGAAGGGAGUGUACAACUGGGGCGCAACCCCACUUUUUUGUUGGAGAGAUAGAAUGGAGUUCAUCACGAAGUUCGAGACAAAGGACAAAAUAAAAGUUUCUCUAUAG